UCAAAAUAUAAGAGUACACCUUGUAUAUGUUCGGGAAUAUGGCCCGGACGUUUCUACCGGGCUUCCGUAAAAAGCUUGACUACAGGGGAUAACGAGAAAAAG
Molecule: non-coding RNA, 102 nt
Filed under: Aneurinibacillus migulanus
Lineage: Bacteria; Bacillati; Bacillota; Bacilli; Caryophanales; Paenibacillaceae
Description: Guanine sequence
Rfam family: Purine riboswitch aptamer
About the family: Riboswitches are metabolite binding domains within certain messenger RNAs that serve as precision sensors for their corresponding targets.
Source: Rfam by way of RNAcentral